RNAcentral lists this ribosomal RNA (682 nucleotides) under Macrochirichthys macrochirus (sward minnow). RNAcentral describes it as "partial 12S ribosomal RNA". It matches the Rfam family "Bacterial small subunit ribosomal RNA", at positions 512 to 1495 of the family's 1533-position model. The record is from RNAcentral. Lineage: Eukaryota; Metazoa; Chordata; Actinopteri; Cypriniformes; Xenocyprididae.
CCACCGCGGUUAAACGGGGGACCCUAGUUGAUAACACCACGGCGUAAAGGGUGGUUAAGGAAAGUAAAAUAAUAAAGCCGAAUGGCCCUUUGGCCGUCAUACGCUUCUAGGCACUUGAAGCCCAAUUUAUACGAAAGUAGCUUUAAUAAAGCCCACCUGACCCCACGAAAGCUGAGAAACAAACUGGGAUUAGAUACCCCACUAUGCUCAGCUAUAAACCUAGACUUCCAAAUACAGAUAAACGUUCGCCCGGGUACUACGAGCAUUAGCUUGAAACCCAAAGGACCUGACGGUGCCUUAGACCCCCCUAGAGGAGCCUGUUCUAGAACCGAUAAUCCCCGUUAAACCUCACCACUUCUGGCCGUCCCAGCCUGUAUACCGCCGUCGUCAGCUUACCCUGUGAAGGUAAAAAAGUAAGCAAAAUGGGCAUAGCCCAGAACGUCAGGUCAAGGUGCAGCUUACGGAGUGGAAAGAAAUGGGCUACAUUUUCUAUCACAGAAUACUACGAAUAUGCAACAUGAAACAAUGCUUGAAGGAGGAUUUAGUAGUAAAAAGGAAGCAGAGUGUCCUUUUGAACCCGGCUCUGAGGCGCGUACACACCGCCCGUCACCCUCCCCGUCAAUAAAUGCAAUAAAAGUACAUAACACCAAAGCACUGACAAGAGGAGGCAAGUCGUAACAUG